ACCGGUUCUCGAUUCCUGAUUUCAAUCCUUUUUUUUUCCGAUUCCGAUCCCAUCGGUAUCAUUUGGUGCUUUCAUCGGUUGAACUCUACACUUUGAUUUUUCAUAAAAACAGAUGGCAAACAACAUGGAUCUGUCCUCAAAUCCAGACUUCAUCAGGCUCCAAUCACUGCAAUUGAACCAAAUAAAGGAUAUGGGUGAACUUAGGACUUCAGUGAAUAAUAAUUUUUUGGAGUUGAGCAAGCAAAUGUCAGAUUUAUGUGCCAAGUUUUUAGCCUUACCUGCAACAGGAAAUUCAGCAACACCCCCUGAGAAUAGAGUACAGAUACACAGACAGACCGUGGAGACAACUAAUGUCAUUAAACAGCCCCAACCCUACUACCAAUCUGUGGUGAAUUUAGACAACCCGAGUUAUGCUUCCACUAUCAUGGAGGACCCAAACUACAUUCCAGCAAAACACAUUAAGGUUAAUAUGCCGAGAUUUGAUGGUACUGAGGUGGAACACUGGCUUUAUUCAGUAAGAAGAUACUUCAUUUUUAAUAAAGUGCCUGAGAAUCAGAAGCUAUUAAUAGUAUCAUUCCAUCUGGAUGGCAUUGCAAGAAAAUGGUUUGCCUGGUUAGAGGCCAGCAAUAUGCUGUCUACCUGGCCUAACUUUGUGGAUGCUGUAGUGAGGAAAUUUUCUAAUUUACACUACCAAUUGCCCGGUGGUAAAUUGAGCAAAUUGGUUCAAGAGGGAACAGUGGCAGAAUACCAAGCUGCGUUUGAAGAGAUGUGCACACGGGUCUUGGGUUUACCGGAAUAUUUUAUACUAGAGAUGUAUGUAUCUGGUCUGAAGGAGGAAAUUCAGGCUGAUGUUAUACUAGGGAAGCCAAAUGAUAUUCAUGAGGCUUUCGAGAUGUCACUGAUGAUCGAGUCAAGAAGAGGAUCAGGUCGAGCUUCAACCUACAAACCUUAUGUGCCAAAGCAAGCUAAAACCUACGUUAACCAGGAACAUCCGCAGUACCGAACUAUUGCUGGUCUCAAACAGCAAAAUACAUCAGUCCCGGAAAUUCCAGCCACUAAGAGAUUAUCUGCAGCUG
This 1076-nucleotide long non-coding RNA is filed under the name Zostera marina. Its description in RNAcentral is "long non-coding RNA (ZMAR_LNC004875)". Lineage: Eukaryota; Viridiplantae; Streptophyta; Magnoliopsida; Alismatales; Zosteraceae. The record is from RNAcentral.